CGGGCGUGGUGGAGCGGGGGCUCAGCACGCUCUUCGGCGGGGUGUGACGGCGCGCCGGACCCGCGCGGGCCCGUGCUCCGCCCCGGGGUGCCCGGC
Molecule: transfer RNA, 96 nt
Filed under: Streptomyces capoamus
Lineage: Bacteria; Bacillati; Actinomycetota; Actinomycetes; Kitasatosporales; Streptomycetaceae
Also listed under: 1 other name
Description: tRNA-Arg
Source: RNAcentral